AGUGACCCUACAGUGACAUGUAACCACUCUCCUUCUUUUGUAUUGGAAAACUUACUUGCCUGGGUCAUCCAUCCCACCUUGGGAAGGCUGAAGAGCUGAGAUUGCCUGUUUUUGAACGUUCAUUAUCUGAAGCUGGCAGCUGAACAAACCUGUUUUGCUUAAAAUCGGUUCGAGAUGCAGGCGCUCGGCAUUUUGUUGAAGCAAUGGAAAGCUGAGGCAGAUAGAUACUAAGAAGUGGGAAUCCUGAAUUGUACGGGAGAAGAAUGUAAGCACAAAGCACGUGAACCCCUUGAAAUGUGCUAGACGCGCGGUGCCUGCACUUUGGAUGGCAACACUGCACCUUCACCCUGCCAGUUACAGAUAUGCUUAGUUUAAAAAUCAAUUUAUGUAUUAGUAAAGACUGCCAGCAAAAAAAUGCGGUAUCAUUGUCCCAAAGCUAAGGUACCAAAUCUUACAUGCACAGGUCAUUUGCUGUGGAUGGAGCUGUGUGAAGCUGACUGGACAGGCGUUUUCAGUGGAAGCGCCACCUCAGGCGCCCCUCCCAGCAUCUCUCUCUCCUCAGAAUACCCUUUGGUGGCUCUUCCCCCAGCGAUGUGCAAGACCACAAGACCACACUCACAGGGUAUUUAAACUGCUCUCUAGCGACUCGCCAUGCGGUUUUUCGGCUUCUUCCCUCUGUAUUUUGGGGUCUGGAAAAUCACCGAGGAGUGUUUUGCCGAUAAACCUGGACUUUUAACUUUUAAUUUGGUUUUCUUUGAAUUACUGCAGCAACAGAGAGACUUACUGGGGGCAAAGACACCUUUCACUUUCAUCAUUUAUUUUCCUACCAGAUGGCAGUUAUGAUUGUACCUCAUUGCCAACAUGUGUGAUUCUUCUGAGAUUGCAGUCACUCCAAGAAGUGUGCAGAAUCCCUUUGAGGAGCAUCGUGUAGGAGGUCCAAGUGCUGGAAGCAGAUGAAAGCUUGAAGUAAGGCAAGAGAAUACACAAGAAAGAAAGUCAACACAAGAGACAAUAAAAACAAAAACCACCAGAGCUUUUAAACUGAAGAAGCAGCCUGUCUCAUUAAGGGCCUGCGAAGCACACUAUUUUCAGUUGCUGGCUAAUCUUUAGAUUCCCAGAUCCCUCACUCAUCACUUCUUUCCUCUAGGGAAUACUUGCCUAUCAAUUUUCUUAUUCUCUUUUAUUCUACCUCUGUCCCUGGGCUAUGCAGUUAAAUUGUUUUCUUGGUGUUAGUCUAUCCCCAAAUGAUUAGAAAUGAAGUGGAUGCUAUUAGUGCCUGCUUGUAUCACAUACCAAGAAAGCAAUCCAUUCCUUUAUGAGAAUGAAGAUUCUAUCAUGUCAUCUUUUCUCUCGUGAGUUGUGAAAUUGCAGCCAACAGCUAGUGUAAGUCUGGAGAGGAUAAGGAGGGAAGCCUAGAGAGUCAAGAGUGUAUCUUCCUGUGGCCAAGCAGAGCAGCAGGCGCAUAAAAGUGUACCCUACUGUAUAGGAUUGUGCACUGAAACCACCAUUGUUUUCCUAUUUCAGCUCUCUGAAGCCGCGUUGUCUUUUCUGCUUGUCCCACCCUGGGAAGGCAUGCAAGUCUGAAUUAACGCCUUUAUUCAGGGAUGUGACUCGAUAAAAAACUCGCAGGAGUUUCCAGAUACCUGACUCUGCAACACAUCUGUUAGAUACACUCAGUCAGCUGUGUCUGCGACUGUUUCCAAUAGUGCCUGGUUGUUGUGAUUCCUAUACAUCGUAUUUUUCACUUUCAUGCUGUCUUUCAUCUUUUAGAAGUUAAGUUUCUAGUCUGAAAAAUGUCAUUGGCGUGUACAUAUGUGCCUUUAUUUCUUCAGUAUUUAGAUAUCUGGAAUAGAGGCUUAAAUUUAAAUAGACUUCACAAAUUCUGUCAUUGUUCUUAUUUCUGGUCUGUUGGUUCAUUUUACUCCUCAUUGCAGACUAUAUCUUUGUCCUAUUGUCCUGAAACAUAUAGCUUCUUCCCCAGACAGACUUUGGACAACUGCCUGUCGUCAAUCUCUGAAAUACUUGGCUUCUGUAUCUUACCUAAAUUGUUUUCUAAAAUUGUUUCAGACAGAAAGUUAGACCUGGUUCCUAUUACUCCAUUCACGGUCAAAGCUAAAGUUUCUUUAUAAUUCAUUUUUGUACCAAUGUCUGAAUUAUUGGCUGCAGUUCUUCAAUCUUUUAAAAAUCUUUGGUGAUACAUUUUCUCUCAAGUUACUCUCGUCUUCAGUCAAAUAGUAAGGCCCUUUACAAUAUUUCUUGUUCCCUCCCAUUCCCCUCCCCGUCCUACUCCACCUCCUAUACACAGAACCAUUUAUAGUCAAGCAACUGAUUGACAGAAAACCCUGAGAUCUGCCGCCCUACUAUUUGAGCAGAGGUUUUGUUUCCUUACUUUAUCCCACUUUGUCUUUUGAGACUGGUGAACUCUAAACAACCUCAUAAAUCCUUGUUCAAAUAUAAUCCCAUAUGUUGCAUUUCCUCCACUGUACUUACCCAGUCAGUUUUUUUCUUUAUGGAACUAAGAUGUAUGGAACUUAUUCUGGAAAAAAAAACCACCUAGUAAAUGCUGUAGAUUUUGAACACCUUUA
This is a long non-coding RNA of Mesocricetus auratus (golden hamster), 2585 nucleotides long. RefSeq lists it as uncharacterized. The record is from RefSeq and is a predicted model, not a curated record. Lineage: Eukaryota; Metazoa; Chordata; Mammalia; Rodentia; Cricetidae. The transcript is spliced from 5 exons.